AGUGAACGCUGGCGGCAGGCCUAACACAUGCAAGUCGAACGGCAGCACAGCAGUAGCAAUACUGUGGGUGGCGAGUGGCGGACGGGUGAGGAAUACAUCGGAAUCUGCCUAGUCGUGGGGGAUAACGUAGGGAAACUUACGCUAAUACCGCAUACGACCUACGGGUGAAAGCGGGGGAUCGCAAGACCUCGCGCGAUUAGAUGAGCCGAUGUCCGAUUAGCUAGUUGGCGGGGUAAUGGCCCACCAAGGCGACGAUCGGUAGCUGGUCUGAGAGGAUGAUCAGCCACACUGGAACUGAGACACGGUCCAGACUCCUACGGGAGGCAGCAGUGGGGAAUAUUGGACAAUGGGCGAAAGCCUGAUCCAGCCAUGCCGCGUGUGUGAAGAAGGCC
RNAcentral lists this ribosomal RNA (392 nucleotides) under uncultured bacterium. Its description in RNAcentral is "bacterial SSU rRNA". It matches the Rfam family "Bacterial small subunit ribosomal RNA", at positions 29 to 416 of the family's 1533-position model. The record is from RNAcentral.